RNAcentral lists this unclassified non-coding RNA (750 nucleotides) under Hevea brasiliensis (rubber tree). The record is from RNAcentral. Lineage: Eukaryota; Viridiplantae; Streptophyta; Magnoliopsida; Malpighiales; Euphorbiaceae.
CCAAGAGUUGCUUGACAAGGUGAGGCUGUUGGAAAAAAUGAAAUAUCCUAACUAACAAAGAAGAAUGAUCAGAGCACAUUAAAUUAACAGCACUUUUGCUUCCUUUUUCCUGGAGGACUGUAAAGGCACCUGGUUUUCAUGACUUCACUAGACAUAGGCUUUUGAACAUUGCUAAGUUAGGUGUAGAAUUGUUCAUUGAAUGUUCUCUAGCAUUGGGCUCUCGUCAACUACUCCCCCGUAAUUUUGUUUCAAGUAGAUGUGAAAAAUGAGAAGGUGCAGAGAUCUGAGCUGCUGGAUCAGAGUAUUGAACUGCAGAGUCCCUUACAAUUGCCAAAUUUUGGAUUAGAGUGGCGCUUCUGUGAUUUUUGUGGAACUUUAGCCGUUAGCAUGCUAGUGGGGAGUACCAUUGGUACUAACCGUCUAACCUGCCAGUUGUGUAUAUAAAUGCAAUCUUCGGGCAUAAUUAAUUCGGCCUCGGUUGGAGUUGGGCCUGUGAUUGGUCAACGGUUCAAGGGCCUCGGGAAUAGCAAGGGCUGGGUUCAGUUUUUCUCCUCCAAAAUCGUGAACCAGUGACCGCCCGAAUCGAAAUGAAACCAAUCAUAACUGCUAGGAAGUGGAUGGGGCUGAACUGCCCCGUGGCUUGGAUCAAGUUCAUAUCCUCCACAGAGCAGAAUUGGCCACACGCGGACCGGGUAUAAUUUUCCCUUAGUGGUCAUGCCGGAUUGCGUCUUGACUUUUUAGAAACUAGCG